UACGUAGGUGGCAAGCGUUGUCCGGAUUUAUUGGGCGUAAAGCGCGCGCAGGCGGCUUCUUAAGUCUGAUGUGAAAGCCCACGGCUCAACCGUGGAGGGUCAUUGGAAACUGGGGAGCUUGAGUGCAGAAGAGGAGAGUGGAAUUCCAUGUGUAGCGGUGAAAUGCGUAGAUAUAUGGAGGAACACCAGUGGCGAAGGCGGCUCUCUGGGCCAUUACUGACACUGAGGUGCGAAAGCGUGGGUAGCAAACAGG
Molecule: ribosomal RNA, 253 nt
Filed under: uncultured bacterium
Lineage: Bacteria
Description: partial 16S ribosomal RNA
Rfam family: Bacterial small subunit ribosomal RNA
Source: RNAcentral